RNAcentral lists this long non-coding RNA (1862 nucleotides) under Heterocephalus glaber (naked mole-rat). RNAcentral's name for it is "lncRNA (ENSHGLG00100043688.1)". The record is from RNAcentral. Lineage: Eukaryota; Metazoa; Chordata; Mammalia; Rodentia; Bathyergidae.
CAAUCUCCAAUUUUACAUGGAAUUGCAAAGGCCUCAAAUGGCCAAAGUCUUAUUGAAAUAGAUCAAAGUUGAAAGACUUACAUGUCCUGUUUUCUAAUUUUGCUACAAAGGUAUAAUGAGCAAAACAGCCUAAUAUAGGCAUAAGCAUUUACAUUAAGAUUACUAAAAUAAAAUUCAGAAUCCUGAAAUCAACCCAUCUGUCUAUGCCCCAUUCAUAGGCUGUUGGAUAAGUAUGUCAAGAACAUUCAGUGGGAGAAAGAAUUCUCUAAGUUUGAUAAGUUAUUAUUCUAAAUGCCAGAAGCACUGGAAGCAGUAACCAAUAAGGAAUUGAGUGUCUUUCUUAGCAGCCUUGUUUGGAACUUCGAAUGUAACAGCACACUGCUCCUGGACUCUAAAAUAGCUAAUGAGAAAGCUGAUAAUCUUGAGGAUACCUUGAACACGUCCAGAUACUUCUUUCUCGUGCUUUUAGAAUUUUCUCUUGUCUUUGGCUUUUGAUAACUGACUAUGAUAUGUCUCAGUGUAGGAAUAUUUGAGUGCAACCUAAUGAAACUCUCAGAUGUUUAUGCCUUUCAUCAAAUUUGGGAAGUGUUCAUUUAUUCUUUCUUCAAAUAUUCAUCUGUAUCAUUGUGUCACUCUUCUCCUCCUCAGACUGCCACGAUGCUUAUGUAGUUUCUAUUUAGUGAUUUCCCAGAGGUCUGAUAGACUCUUUUCAUGUUUCUUCACUUUUCUUUUCUCUCUGCUCUUCAACAGUAUCCAUUAACCUGAUUUCAGUUCUACUAAUAAUAUUUUUCUGUCUGCUCAUAUCUGCUUGAAUUUUAUAAUUGAAUUUUAUAAUUCAAUUCAAUUAUUACACUUUCUGGCUCCAAAAUUUCAUUUUCCACCUCAUUUUAUUUUCAAAUAAUAUAUUAUAUCAUUUCAUGGUGCAUGUGAUUGGACAUCAUUAAAUGACUCCUAUUCUGCGGCUCUUAACCUGGAACUCAGAAACUUUCUCAUAUAUUUGGACAGUCUGCCAAUUUUGAACCUGUUUUAAUCUCAAAUUAUUUCCUAGCUCAGUGAGUUCUUAUACUGUACUGUAUAAGUACUGUAAUGCAACUAAACCAUGGAGGCUGCAUUCCCCACUUUUUGCUACAUAGUGACUGCUGGCUCUUUGGACAGUAGGAGUCAUCAUCUGUAACUGGUGGGGGAUGUCCUCUCAUUCCCCUGCCUCAGCCCUAAUCUCUGAGAAAGAGUAUAGAUUUUCAGGCUUCAGCACAUGGAGACUAUGCCCAUCAUAUCCUAACUUUUGCUUAUGAAAUAGACUUCUUUAAUAUGUCUUUUUCUGUUUCUCUAGGCUAGGAAUGUUAGCAGACUCUUUUCUUUGUAAUCACUAUUUUUCUUUACGAUAUUCUCUAACUUCUCAUAUCUUUUGUCAGCUGGAUAACCAACUCACUGUAAUAAUACACUUCUACUUUAAAUAUUGUUUUAUUUUUCUUGCUUGAUACUGAGUGAUAGAAGCAUUCAAUAAAUGUCACUAAUUGAUAUAAAUCAGACUAUCUGUGUACACUCAUGUUUAUAUUCAGAAAUAUUUAUUAAGUACAGUCUUGGGGCUUAGUAUUAUAUUCUACAUUGAGCAAAAGUAGACACAGUCUCUAUCUUUAUGCAACUCAGUCCAGCAAUCCAACAGAUAAAUAAGAGACACAAAGGAGAGUGUUUGUCAUUAGACUGAAGAAUGUAAGGUGUGGGGUUGAUGGUUAGAUAUAUUUGCAUAAUUGGAUAGAUGUUUGUGCAACUUCUCAAAAGCAAUGUUCCACAAGAACUGGGUUAGGUUAGGUAAGAGAUUUUCCUUUUCUGGUUUUAGGGUCAAACUUAGGCUUUGUGUGUGC